GGGCCUCUUGCCAUCAGAUGUGCCCAGAUGGGAUUAGCUUGUUGGUGAGGUAACGGCUCACCAAGGCGACGAUCCCUAGCUGGUCUGAGAGGAUGACCAGCCACACUGGAACUGAGACACGGUCCAGACUCCUACGGGAGGCAGCAGUGGGGAAUAUUGCACAAUGGGCGCAAGCCUGAUGCAGCCAUGCCGCGUGUAUGAAGAAGGCCUUCGGGUUGUAAAGUACUUUCAGCGGGGAGGAAGGUGUUGUGGUUAAUAACCGCAGCAAUUGACGUUACCCGCAGAAGAAGCACCGGCUAACUCCGUGCCAGCAGCCGCGGUAAUACGGAGGGUGCAAGCGUUAAUCGGAAUUACUGGGCGUAAAGCGCACGCAGGCGGUCUGUCAAGUCGGAUGUGAAAUCCCCGGGCUCAAC
Molecule: ribosomal RNA, 413 nt
Filed under: Salmonella enterica
Lineage: Bacteria; Pseudomonadati; Pseudomonadota; Gammaproteobacteria; Enterobacterales; Enterobacteriaceae
Description: bacterial SSU rRNA
Rfam family: Bacterial small subunit ribosomal RNA
Source: RNAcentral